CGGCGAUGCCGACGCAGUACUGGACGGGGUGGUAGCACGGCUUGCUGCUGCUCGUGCCGUCAUGGUGCAACAUGUUCCUAGUUGUUGGGACCAUGGCGGCGGCGUCGUGCUGCUGCUGACCUCGACCGUGUGGUGAUAGCUGAUUAUUAAAGUGUAUCGAUGUGGAAGUGCUUUUACUAAUCUUGGUACCUAUAUACUCAUUUUUUAGUAGUUGU
Molecule: long non-coding RNA, 215 nt
Organism: Panicum virgatum (switchgrass)
Lineage: Eukaryota; Viridiplantae; Streptophyta; Magnoliopsida; Poales; Poaceae
Exons: 2
Source: RefSeq, a predicted model, not a curated record